AGAAAAAAAAAAAGGUAAAGCCUAAUUCCCCUCCCCAUGAGGAUGUGACUCGCUUCUAACAGAAUAUGGCAGAAGUAAAGAUAUGUGACUUUGAGACUAUGUCAUGAAGGACAUUGUGGCUUCUGCCUAUCUUUCUUCUGGAUCACACCCCAGGGGAGAAAGCCAACCUCCAUGUUGUGAGGACACUCAAGCAGCCCUUCGUGGAGGUCCGCGUGGUGAGGAAUUGAGGCCUCCUGCUGAUGGCUCAUGCUAACUUGCUAGCCGUGGGAGUCAGCUACCUUGGAAGCAAUCCUUCAUCCCCAGUCAAGCACUCAGAUGACCGCAGCUCUGGCCAACAUCUUGACUGCAACCUGUGAACGACCCUGAGCAGAACUGUCCAGUUAAGCCACUCCUGGCUCACAGGAAUGGGGGAGAUAAUAAACAUUUAUCGUUUCAAGCUGUUAAGUUUGGGGGUAUGUUAUGCAGCAAGAGAUAACAAAUGUAGAAUAUUUCACUCAUUUCUACAUGAAGAUUUCUUUUCUUUUUUUUUUUUUUGAGACAGAGUCUCUCUCUGUCACCCAGGCUGGAGUGCAGUGGCGCGAUCUCAGCUCACUGCAACCUCCACCUCCCGG
RNAcentral lists this long non-coding RNA (611 nucleotides) under Homo sapiens (human). RNAcentral describes it as "non-protein coding lnc-SCAF8-1:1". The record is from RNAcentral. Lineage: Eukaryota; Metazoa; Chordata; Mammalia; Primates; Hominidae.